UGAAAUUCUACUUAAAUUACUCCUUG
RNAcentral lists this transfer RNA (26 nucleotides) under Ceratotherium simum (white rhinoceros). Its description in RNAcentral is "partial tRNA-Pro". The record is from RNAcentral. Lineage: Eukaryota; Metazoa; Chordata; Mammalia; Perissodactyla; Rhinocerotidae.